UACGGAGGGUGCAAGCGUUGUCCGGAUUUAUUGGGUUUAAAGGGUGCGUAGGCGGCCCUCUAAGUCAGUGGUGAAAUACUGCAGCUUAACUGUAGCAUUGCCAUUGAUACUGGAGGGCUUGAGUACAGAUGAGGUAGGCGGAAUUUAUGGUGUAGCGGUGAAAUGCAUAGAUACCAUAAAGAACACCUAUUGCGAAGGCAGCUUACUAAGCUGUAACUGACGCUGAGGCACGAAAGCGUGGGGAGCAAACAGG
Molecule: ribosomal RNA, 253 nt
Filed under: uncultured bacterium
Lineage: Bacteria
Description: partial 16S ribosomal RNA
Rfam family: Bacterial small subunit ribosomal RNA
Source: RNAcentral